This is an RNA transcript of Mus musculus (house mouse), 5376 nucleotides long. It is a transcript of the gene named DTW domain containing 2, with no coding region annotated. The transcript has 9 exons. The record is from RefSeq and is marked validated. Lineage: Eukaryota; Metazoa; Chordata; Mammalia; Rodentia; Muridae.
CUGAUGGAAAUAAUUUAUUCAAGAAACAUAGAAACCGGAAUGGGGCAGAGGUGGUGGCCCAGAUGAAUGGCUGGAUUCUGCAUCCUUUGUAGGUCAGAACCAGUGAUCUGGUGUGGACCUAAUGAGAAAAUCCAUUGUUAGCAUGUAUCUAUUGUCUUAGCAGAUUUGAUAGUGCAGAAAAACUGUACUCAACCUACUUGUGCUUUUCCUAUCUUGCAAUGAGAGAGCAGGGCCAUCCUUUGGUUUAAACAGUUACUAGGAAACUUAAUUCAAUCUACACCUGUUGCCAGGAUUUCUUUAUUUUCUGAUUUGCCUUCCUUCCUAUAUUUCAUUUCCUAAUUUAAACAGAUAUAAAUGCCAGUUUGUUUUCUAUCCUACCUCUAUUCACCAGGACAGUUCAGCCUUUCCCCCUUCUUUUAAAGCUAGCCCCAAAUAAAAGGAUACUGUUUUUUUAGGGAGAAAAGAAUUAGCAGUAGCUUAAAAUACAGUCCUGUAUACUACUCAUCAAUUUGAUUUUAAGGUGACUGGAAAAUCUAACGCUAAAAUAAAGUAUAAGAGAUACAGUAUUUAUUUGCUUUUAUCGUUCCGUUUACUGGUUAAGUCUAGUCUAGGUAGAGCUUCAAGGCAGGAGCCACUGCAAAACAACUCAGAACUGAUGAAACCCUAGUGUCCUUGUUUAAAUGUAUACUGGUAGAAUUAACAUUAAUACGCAUUAACAAAUACACCCAUUUUCUGUAACCAGCAUUUCUACUUCCGUCAUAACUUUUUGUUGUUGUUGUUGUUGCUGGUUUUUUUUUUUUUUUUUUUUUUUGAGACAGAGUCUCUCUGUAUAGCCCUGGCUGUCCUGGAACUCACUCUGUAGACCAGACUGGCCUCGAACUCAGAAAUCCGCCUGCCUCUGCCUCCCAAGUGCUGGGAUUAAAGGCAUGCGCUAGCACUGCCCGGCCCGUUAUAAGUUUUAAAAGCUGAGCUACCAGACUUUGUUACGUUACCUAGAUGUGAGAACUUUGGUAAGCAGUGCUUGUUUGCAGUGUUUUUUCCUCAUCCAACAUACAUAGUAGGCAGCUCUUUUUGCUUAGUUCCAGGCGGCUUGGGGAGUUAAACGCACCAUUUAACAAUCAUUUGGUGUCAAACGUAAAAUGGUAUGGCCGAUGGCUAGAGGAAACACUUGGGAAGACAAGGCACGGAGCACCAGAGCUCCCUCUGUCACUGCAGCAGUCCUCGGAUCAGUUUUCAGUGGCCGCAACCGCUCCUGUGCAGUCUUUGGCUAUUAAAGUCACGAGCUGCCACAGGGCUGAGCGUGCGCGCGCCUAGAACCCGGCGAUGCUGCCUAGAAUUUCACGUUGUCUUUUAAAUACAGAGAACUGCGCAGAGCAAAGCGUCAGGGUGGCUUCUGCAGGCGACUCCUACACUUUGCGCCUAACCUUACCCAGGCAGCCACUAGGCUCACAAUCUCCUUCCGGCCCGUAGGAGAAGCAACCCAACACACCAAUAGGCUUCUUAUCUUUCUGCAAUGGGGAGGGACCUCACGGCACCUCUGAGCCCCGCCCCCUACGUGACGUGCGCGCGCAGACCCCUUUCCUCAGCGCGUGGCGCCCCCCGGCGGCGGCGGCGCUCCUUCCAUGCGAGGGCCUGACUCUACCACCACCCAUGGAGCCGCAGGCCGAGGAGCGAACUCUCGGGGAGCCUGCGCCUCCGCCUUCUGGCGCCUUGGCGUCACCGACGCCGGACGAAGAGGAGCGGACCGAGGGCGGCGCACCGCCGACGGCGACUCCCGCGGGCGCAUCGGGGGACAGCACGAGUGCAGACGGGCUCUGGGGGCUGCCGGUGGAGCACGCGGAGCGCAGGCCCGAGUGCGGCCGCUGCAGCAUCAGUAUCACUGCAGCAUCAGUACCACUGCAGCAUCAGUACCACUGCAGCAUCAGUACCACUGCAGCAUCAGUACCACUGCAGCAUCAGUAUCACUGCAGCAUCAGUACCACUGCAGCAUCAUCAGUACCACUGCAGCAUCAGUAUCACUGCAGCAUCAGUACCACUGCAGCAUCAUCAGUACCACUGCAGCAUCAGUACCACUGCAGCAUCAUCAGUACCACUGCAGCAUCAGUACCACUGCAGCAUCAUCAGUACCACUGCAGCAUCAGUAUCACUGCAGCAUCAGUACCACUGCAGCAUCAGUACCACUGCAGCAUCAGUACCACUGCAGCAUCAGUACCACUGCAGCAUCAGUAUCACUGCAGCAUCAGUACCACUGCAGCAUCAUCAGUACCACUGCAGCAUCAGUACCACUGCAGCAUCAUCAGUACCACUGCAGCAUCAUCAGUACCACUGCAGCAUCAUCAGUACCACUGCAGCAUCAUCAGUACCACUGCAGCAUCAGUAUCACUGCAGCAUCAGUACCACUGCAGCAUCAGUACCACUGCAGUAUCAUCAGUACCACUGCAGCAUCAGUACCACUGCAGCAUCAGUACCACUGCAGCAUCAGUAUCACCAACUUGUCAGAAAUGUUACUCUGUCAGAAGCUCGGUGAGCUGAUGCUUAGGCUCAGCAAGUUAGCUUAAUGAGCCUCUGAGGUGACAGGGAUGUAAGCUAAUGUUUGUAAACUUAUAUCUCAAACACCAAAAGGAAGUAGACUAGUCAAAGGCCACCCUGUACUGCAAGACACAUCUCCUGAUCCUUCCAGACAGCCACCAGCUGGUGCUAAGUAUUCAAAUAUCCAAGACUAAUGGGAGGGAGGGAACAUCUCAGUUCACACCACCAUGUUUCACUUGCUGUAGCCACACCACAGUCACAAUUACUUAGAAGUCCAGAAGUACAAGUAAGAAGUUAAGGAAAUGUAUGACUAUGAUUAAUGACAGUGAAUUCAGCCCUGUGAGGAAGAAAUAACUGCAAACAAGACGAGGAGUGUUCUAGAGCAUAAUCAUGUGAUUCUGAAGAAAGUGUUCUUUCUUAUAGCAGACCUUGGUCUACACUUCUUAGUAUACUGAGAUUCUUUAGGUCUGUCUGCUACUCUCUGCACUUUAUCUAAUAUCAGCCAUGUUUUUGGCCUCAGUUCUCUUGAUAUUGCUUUUGAUCUUUGCCUCUCAGUCUGUGGGUGUUUUAUUCCAAUGGGAUAUUUGCUUUGGAGACAACAGACAGUUAGAUGUAGUUUUUGAGUCCAGGCAUCCAGUCUAUGACCUUAAUGCCGGCCCCAGAAAGUGUGCUUAUGUCCAUAUCUCCCAGUGCGCCCACUCCAGAUCUCUACCCACUUGUACAUAAUCCAGCAUCCAGCAGAGGAAAGCAGAGUGUUGCGCACAGUCCCUCUGCUAGCAGCAUGCCUUCCCCCAGACAGAUGCACAGUCAAGAUUGGCCGCCGCUUCAGUGAAGAGCGAGAUGUUGAACUUGCAACUGUUUGCCGGGACUCUGGUACAUUAAUAUUAUAUCCAGGGGCUGAAGCUACUAAUUUGGAAGAAUUUAUAUUAGAUUCUCCUGUUUAUCCUUCCACAAUCAUCCUCAUUGAUGGUACAUGGAGCCAGGCUAAGGACAUUUUCUAUAAGAAUUCCUUGUUCCGACUUCCCAAACAGGUGCAGUUAAAAACUAGCGUUUGUAGUCAGUAUGUAAUUCGGAUGCAACCAACAAACAGGUGCCUUUCUACCCUGGAGUGCGCUGCUGUUGCUCUUUCCAUCUUGGAGAAAAACAAUUGCAUACAAGAGACCCUGCUCCGCCCCCUUCAAGCUCUGUGUUCUUUCCAGCUUCAGCAUGGCGCUCAGAUUCGCCUCAGCAAGGAAUAUCUUCUGAGAAACGGAUUGUAUCCCAAGCCAAUGCCAAAGAACAAACGCAAACUCAGGAAGAUGGAGCUGUUGAUGAACAGUGUUAAAAUUUAGCACGUCUGUCCCUGUGGUGCUAGUUUACCUGUCACUGGCUGACAAGACUGUGUUACAUCUUCCCAGUCUAGGCUUUCGCUCUGAAGAAUCGUUGGCCCAUUCUUGUGCUGAAGGACGAGGGCUGCUCCACAGCGCCUUAUGGUUCACUUCCGUUGACUGUGAAAAGCAGUUUCACACUGCCUCUCGUUUUGUUUUUGUUUUUGUUUUUGUUGUUUUUGUUUUUUCAAUACAAGGUUUCUCUGUGUAGCCUGUAGACCAGGCUGGCCUCAAACUCAGAGAUCUGGCUGCUUCUGCCUCCCAAGUUCUGGGCUGAAAAGCAUGCCCCACCUCUGUCUAGCUUCUGUAUUUGCUUUUAAACAUGUGCUUCCAAUACUUUUUUUUUUUUUUUAAAGAAUCUAUUCAAAAUACGAUUAGUCUAGAGUAAGGAGCUGUUGUUUGUAAAAUGAGGAAAAUUGUGUCUGGGAACAUGUUCCCGUCAGUGUUUAUAGGUAUGUAGGUGUAGAUCACUGAUGGAAUAUACCCCGUGAAACUAAUGUUUCAGCCUAGUGAAUGAAAUUAUAAGUGUGAAGUAAGUGACACAGAGGGCAGUUUAUGUCAUUAAGUAGUGUAAGGGAAUAGGGAGACGUUACUGUUUACAGUUGUACUCGGACUCAGCUAAUGUGACUCACGUCUUCUGUUAGCAUCUGAAUUCCUGUGGAGACAUAUAAUUUUGAAAUAACCUGCAUUCUCUAUGGGGGAUGCUGUGCAUAACUUUCAGUGUUCACUGAGCAAGCUAACUGGUGGUAAGAGGUUUUUGAUGAAGUUUCUACAUGGAAAUGACUGAAGUAAAUUAUAAUAAAGCUAUCAUUUUAAGAACAUAUUUCUAUAAGUAGCUCUACUUACUUUUUUUUUUUUUUUUUUUUAAAGAAAAACAACUUUCAAUGUGGAAGAUACAUGCCCUUACCUUAUUUGGAGAAUAUUUACUGAUAUUUUGUAUAGAAAAAGAGAAAUUUAUACAUUUUAUAUUUAUAUCCAAUUUACAGUUAAGCAUACACUUUGGCAAGAUCACGAUGUUUCAUUUUGACUGUUGUUCACAAUUGCUAAGGUUUCCUAAAUUCAGGGUGACAGUGGAAGGGAGAGUCAAGCAUGACUUAGUUUGUGAUCUUUAGUUGUGAUUUUGAUAAAUACCUCUGUGUGUGGCAUGAACACACACCAGUUUCUGAUUAUUUUUAUGCUUUUUUUGUUUGUUUGUUAUUGGGUUAGAUCAGACACUCAUUAAGAACUUGGCUGGUCCUAAUUAGAAUGCUAACAGAUAUGUAGCAUGUUACAGAAAGAUAUUAAAAUUUAGGUUUGUCUUAAGUUGCUGACUUAUAUUUGCAUUUAAAAAUAAGUCGGUCUUUUAUAACCUAAAUGUCUAGUAUCAAUUGAAUAUUUAUAUAAUAAUGAAAUAGUAGUAUUAUGUAUAAUGGUUUCUUAAGGAAUGAGUUAAAAUCAUCUCAUAAUAAUUUUUUAUGUUGAAAAUAAACUUUAUAAAAUC